GAUUAACGCUAGCGGCAGGCAUAAUACAUGCGAGUUGAACGGCAGCACAGGUAGCAAUACUGGGUGGCGAGUGGCGCACGGGUGCGUAACACGUAUGCAACCUACCCUAUACAGGCGAAUAACCUUUAGAAAUGAGGGCUAAUACGCCGUAGUAUUACAGAUGGGCAUCUAUUUGUAAUUAAAGAUUUAUCGGUAUAGGAUGGGCAUGCGUCCCAUUAGUUAGUUGGUAAGGUAACGGCUUACCAAGACGAUGAUGGGUAGGGGAUCUGAGAGGACUUACCCCCACACUGGUACUGAGACACGGACCAGACUCCUACGGGAGGCAGCAGUAAGGAAUAUUGGGCAAUGGCCGCGAGGCUGACCCAGCCAUGCCGCGUGCAGGAAGACGGCCUUAUGGGUUGUAAACUGCUUUUAUACGGGAAUAAUAGAGUGUACGCGUACAUUUAUGCAAGUAUCGUAUGAAUAAGCAUCGGCUAACUCCGUG
RNAcentral lists this ribosomal RNA (484 nucleotides) under uncultured bacterium. Its description in RNAcentral is "partial 16S ribosomal RNA". It matches the Rfam family "Bacterial small subunit ribosomal RNA", at positions 28 to 507 of the family's 1533-position model. The record is from RNAcentral.